AGGGGAAUAUUGCACAAUGGGCGCAAGCCUGAUGCAGCCAUGCCGCGUGUAUGAAGAAGGCCUUCGGGUUGUAAAGUACUUUCAGCGAGGAGGAAGGCGUUGUGGUUAAUAACCGCAACGAUUGACGUUACUAGCAGAAGAAGCACCGGCUAACUCCGUGCCAGCAGCCGCGGUAAUACGGAGGGUGCAAGCGUUAAUCGGAAUUACUGGGCGUAAAGCGCACGCAGGCGGUCUGUCAAGUCGGAUGUGAAAUCCCCGGGCUCAACCUGGGAACUGCAUCCGAAACUGGCAGGCUAGAGUCUUGUAGAGGGGGGUAGAAUUCCAGGUGUAGCGGUGAAAUGCGUAGAGAUCUGGAGGAAUACCGGUGGCGAAGGCGGCCCCCUGGACAAAGACUGACGCUCAGGUGCGAAAGCGUGGGGAGCAAACA
Molecule: ribosomal RNA, 427 nt
Filed under: uncultured bacterium
Lineage: Bacteria
Description: partial 16S ribosomal RNA
Rfam family: Bacterial small subunit ribosomal RNA
Source: RNAcentral